This 72-nucleotide transfer RNA is filed under the name Candidatus Pacearchaeota archaeon. RNAcentral's name for it is "tRNA-Gly". It matches the Rfam family "tRNA". Rfam says of the family: Transfer RNA (tRNA) molecules are approximately 80 nucleotides in length. Their secondary structure includes four short double-helical elements and three loops (D, anti-codon, and T loops). The record is from RNAcentral. Lineage: Archaea; Nanobdellati.
GCACCAGUAAUAUAGCGGUCAGUAUGAUGGCUUCCCAAGCCGUUCACCCGGGUUCAAAUCCCGGCUGGUGCA